This 253-nucleotide ribosomal RNA is filed under the name uncultured bacterium. RNAcentral's name for it is "partial 16S ribosomal RNA". It matches the Rfam family "Bacterial small subunit ribosomal RNA", at positions 524 to 776 of the family's 1533-position model. The record is from RNAcentral.
UACGUAGGGUGCGAGCGUUAAUCGGAAUUACUGGGCGUAAAGCGUGCGCAGGCGGUUUUUUAAGUCAGAUGUGAAAGCCCCGGGCUUAACCUGGGAAUGGCAUUUGGGACUGCAAGGCUUGAGUGCGGCAGAGGAGACUGGAAUUCCUGGUGUAGCAGUGAAAUGCGUAGAUAUCAGGAGGAAUACCGAUGGCGAAGGCAGGUCUCUGGGCUGACACUGACGCUCAUGCGCGAAAGCGUGGGGAGCAAACAGG